Non-coding RNA from Petromyzon marinus (sea lamprey), 342 nucleotides. Lineage: Eukaryota; Metazoa; Chordata; Hyperoartia; Petromyzontiformes; Petromyzontidae. The record is from RefSeq and is a predicted model, not a curated record.
GCCAAUAACACUUCAAGCUGUGUGCUGCUGUCCAAGGCAUGCAUUGUCACCGGAUCUGGGUAUGUGUGCAAGAUUUGAAAUUGAUUGUACAACGGGAAGGAGACUAACCUUUGAUUAGAAGAUUUGACCUCGACAAACAUAGGAGUCAAGCAAGUAAAACCGUUGAAUAAGAUUAACCAUGUCGUACAACGUUCCACAAAGUCAGAGGGAGACUUCCGAAGUCAAAUUAACGUCGACCUUCAAGAAGAUUGCCAACGCUCUAACUCCCCUCUCUCACUGGCAAGCUUGAUGAGAAAAUGCACCCGCAGAAGAGGGCACUGAGACUGUGACUCAUUCCUAUGG